This 512-nucleotide ribosomal RNA is filed under the name Acinetobacter sp. FS53(2011). RNAcentral's name for it is "bacterial SSU rRNA". It matches the Rfam family "Bacterial small subunit ribosomal RNA", at positions 46 to 553 of the family's 1533-position model. Lineage: Bacteria; Pseudomonadati; Pseudomonadota; Gammaproteobacteria; Moraxellales; Moraxellaceae. The record is from RNAcentral.
GCAGCUACACAUGCAGUCGAGCGGGGAGAGUAGCUUGCUACCUGACCUAGCGGCGGACGGGUGAGUAAUGCUUAGGAAUCUGCCUAUUAGUGGGGGACAACAUUCCGAAAGGAAUGCUAAUACCGCAUACGCCCUACGGGGGAAAGCAGGGGAUCUUCGGACCUUGCGCUAAUAGAUGAGCCUAAGUCAGAUUAGCUAGUUGGUGGGGUAAAGGCCUACCAAGGCGACGAUCUGUAGCGGGUCUGAGAGGAUGAUCCGCCACACUGGGACUGAGACACGGCCCAGACUCCUACGGGAGGCAGCAGUGGGGAAUAUUGGACAAUGGGCGAAAGCCUGAUCCAGCCAUGCCGCGUGUGUGAAGAAGGCCUUUUGGUUGUAAAGCACUUUAAGCGAGGAGGAGGCUACUUAGAUUAAUACUCUAGGAUAGUGGACGUUACUCGCAGAAUAAGCACCGGCUAACUCUGUGCCAGCAGCCGCGGUAAUACAGAGGGUGCGAGCGUUAAUCGGAUUUA